UUCUUCCUUUUCCAUCUCUCCCCUGUGCUUCAAAACCAGUUUGGGUUCUACAGGUUCAUAUGUUGUGGGUCUAACUCACUUUGAUGAGAUUUUGCAAGAGGCAGAUGGUAUUAUCCUUUCCUGUGGAAAUCUUUGCUUUGAUCUUCCACCAGAGAAGUUUCAACAGCAACUGGUUGUGUUUGUGUG
Cynara cardunculus var. scolymus (artichoke) is the source of this 186-nucleotide long non-coding RNA. RefSeq lists it as uncharacterized. The transcript has 4 exons. NCBI's taxonomy places the organism in Eukaryota, Viridiplantae, Streptophyta, Magnoliopsida, Asterales, Asteraceae. The record is from RefSeq and is a predicted model, not a curated record.